CACGUUGAACUAGCCCGGGAGCUUCCCUGGGACACCAAGGAGCUGUCACGUUGAACUAGCCCGGGAGCUUCCCUGGGACACCAAGGAGCUGUUGAAUAGAUCGACCAGUGUGCCAUUUACUUCCUCAUUUACACGUCAGUGCAUUUGUUUUGAGUGAGGAGGAGAGUAGCUUGGUCUGGGAAUCAGUCACCAAUUUCUCCUUCUUGUGUGUCCCCGCCUCCCUACCGAAAGUCUCACAGCGGGUGUUUUACAGUUGUAACUUUCAAUACCCAGGAAUAAUCCCCUUUUGAUGCAUUUCCCCAUAUGGACUAUUUCAACAAUGGACUAAUAAAACAAAUAUCAAAAGACAGUUUUGGGUUCUGACCAGGAUAAUAGAGGUACUACAGACUAAAGAGUUGUGGGGUCUGACCAGGAUAAUAGAGGUACUACAGACUAAAGAGUUGUGGGGUCUGACCAGGAUAAUAGAGGUACUAUAGACUAAAGAGCUGUGGGGUCUGACCAGGAUAAUAGAGGUACUACAGACUAAAGAGCUGUGGGGUCUGACCAGGAUAAUACAGGUACUACAGACUAAAGAGCUGUGGGGUCUGACCAGGAUAAUAAGAUUACUACAGACUAAAGAGCUGUGGGGUCUGACCAGGAUAAUAGAGGUACUACAGACUAAAGAGCUGUGGGGUCUGACCAGGAUAAUAGCGAUACUACAGACUAAAGAGCUGUGGGGUCUGACCAGGAUAAUAGAGGUACUAUAGACUAAAGAGUUGUGGGGUCUGACCAGGAUAAUAGAGGUACUACAGACUAAAGAGCUGUGGGGUCUGACC
RNAcentral lists this long non-coding RNA (815 nucleotides) under Salmo salar (Atlantic salmon). Its description in RNAcentral is "lncRNA (ENSSSAG00000108293.1)". The record is from RNAcentral. Lineage: Eukaryota; Metazoa; Chordata; Actinopteri; Salmoniformes; Salmonidae.